This 113-nucleotide ribosomal RNA is filed under the name Oreochromis niloticus (Nile tilapia). The record is from RNAcentral. Lineage: Eukaryota; Metazoa; Chordata; Actinopteri; Cichliformes; Cichlidae.
GCUUACGGCCAUACCACCUGACGGGCCCGAUCUCGUCUGAUUCGGAAGCCAAGCAGGUCGGGCCUGUCAGUACUGGACGGGAGACCGCCUGGGAAUACCAGGUGCUGUAAGCU